Molecule: long non-coding RNA, 1147 nt
Filed under: Vigna radiata
Lineage: Eukaryota; Viridiplantae; Streptophyta; Magnoliopsida; Fabales; Fabaceae
Description: long non-coding RNA (VRAD_LNC005616)
Source: RNAcentral
UACAUUUUAGCAAUGUGUACCGGAUUUCAGUAGACAAAAAUACCCUUAUAUCAUGAAUUCUAAGUUUUAAGGUUAAGGGUAUUUUAAUAAUUUUCAUUCUCAAAAUUAAAAAAAUAAAAAAAGAAACUCCCGAAACCCUUAUUCACCUCUCUCAUUUCACUCAACUCUUUCUCUUUCAUCUCUUUCACUCCAACCUUUUCUCUGUCAUCCCUACUCUAGUCCCAAUUGAAAAAAAUCAGAAACACUUGUCUUAUUUUAAUAAUUUUCAUUCUCAAAACUAAAAAAAGAAACCACAAACCCCUAUUCACCUCCUUCAUCCCGCUUAAUCCUUUCUCCUUCAUAUCUCUCACUCAAACAUUUUCUCUGUCAUCUUUGCACCAGCCCCAAGUAAAAAACACUCAUUAUUAAAUAAAAUUGUUAGAGAAAAAAAAUACUUACAUAAAUAAAAAAAUUAAAGCACCUAAUUUUUUCUUUAUAUAAUUUUAAAUAAAAUUUCAAGAUUUAGAAUUUUUAUUGUUUGAUUUUAUCGUUGAGAAUUUUAUUGUAUUUUGAUUUGUUUUUUUUUAGUAAAGGAAAACAAGUUAAUGAUUUCUACCAAAAAAAAUUAAAUGGCCACGGAGCAAUGUUACAUAGUAGUCUCAGAAUGUAAAGGAAGGAUGCUCAUAAGUCUUGGUGCAAGUUGUAUCUGUCAGCUCUAAUAUAUAUAUAGUGAAGAUAAUGAAAUUAAAGAGAUUUUGAAUGAACUUUUUUUGGAAGGUGAAUAUGUCAAUGACUCAACUCUUUACAAAAUUAAAUCGUUUUAUAAUGAGUGUUUUUUUAGUUGGGGCUAGUGCAGAGAUGACAGAGCAAAUGUUUGAGUGAGAGAAAUGAAGGAGAAAGGGUUGAGAGGAAUGAAGGAGGUGAGUAAGGGUUUGAUGUUUCUUUUUUUAGUUUUGAGAAUGAAAAUUAUUAAAAUAAGACAAGUGUUUCUGAUUUUUUUCAAUUGGGACUGGAGUAGGGAUGACAGAGAAAAGGUUGGAGUGAGAGAGAUGAAAGAGAAAUGGUUGAGAGGAAUGAGAGAGGUGGGUAAGGGUUUGGGGGUUUCUUUUUUUAUUUUUUUAAUUUUGAGAAUGAAAAUUAUUAAAAUACCCUUAACCUUAAAACUUAN